CCCUCGAGAUGAGGAGUGUGGAGCUUCAAGCAGUCAUACCUCAGGCUGACCGUCCCUCUGGGUGGCGAGGACAAGACGGUGUGUGUGUGCUGUCUCUGCUCUCCCGUGCCCACCGGACGAUUAUGCGUUGGUGACACCUGCGACCCCAGGGUAAGCAGCACUGCUAUCAUUUCCACCUUCUCAAUAAGGAAGCAGAGAAGUGAAGUGAAGUGAAGUAAGCCACCACACGGUAAGUGCCGGGGCGGCACCUGAACACAGGCUGUCUCCUACCGGCUGACGGCUGACGCUGGAGCUGUUCUGAAGGAACUAGUACAGGCCCUGCUCUCUCCGUUCUUCCAUCCUGCCACGCCGCUGAUGGAAGCGUGGUGUGCGCUGAGAUAAAGCUCUAUGCAGCAUUACUGUGGCCCUCUCUCCCAGUGGUCUCCACUUGUCAAUUCUUAUCGGUUUUAUAUCUUAAUCAUUUCUAAGUUCUAUGUGGGGGCAUGUUCUAUAGAGUACAUUUUAUUAUUUUUUUUCUAGAGAACAGUUUUUCUUCGGUCCUUAAGGACUCAGCUCCUUACGUGGGCUUCGGCGGAGGUCGUGGGGCAGCGCUUCGUGGGGCUCAUCGGGGUGGGGGUGUUUGGUCCUUCCGUGCUUCACACGGGCUGAAGACUCCCGGCAAGACUACCUUGCUGUGAAUGGCACAUCUCACACAGUAAUGCGGUUUCCCACAUAGCCUGGGAAGCAUGGAGGACUGUAUAUGCCUUAAUCUUUCUGCUGAUUCGAUAUGAUUUCAGUUGAAAGAACUUCAGUCUGCAAAAAUCAUGGCUAAUCUCUCUCACAGGUUCAGUAUAUGUGUGUUAUGUCAGUCAAUUCCAAAUAGAAUCCACUUCUGACCUCUGUUUUACAGCAAUGAGACACGUCCCAGGCAGCAAUGAUCGUAAGUGCUCCACAGUGUCAGCCAGUGCCAGGCGCUGUGCUCAACGAUACAACUCUAUGAGGUAGAUUACAGUUGAAGACAUUGAUUAAGAGAGGUCAUGUGACCAGCUAGAGGUCACAGUUUGUAAAUGCCAGAGUCAGGAUUUGCAUCUGAGCCUCAAACCAGAGCAAUAGUAAGAAUGUUGUGUCCAUCUGUAAACACGAUGGGGAAGUUUCGUUUCUUUGUGGUUUUCUAUCUCUCAAAUGGAAGAAAACCACAUCCUUGUCUUGGUUGUAACCUCUUAUACUAUUCUGAAUCCUCCAUCAAGGUGUUAAAAAAAAUACAGGUAAAUAUCUAACAAUUAAGCAUUGCUAUUUUAGGUUAGGAGACCCUCCUUUCAGCCUGAAGCCUCGGAAUGGCCUUUAGAUAGCAGGUUUGUUAGCUCUUGCUUGCCUGGGCUUGUUGUAGACUGCAUGUUUGUGUUGUCCCCACCCCGCCCCCCCCUUCAUAUUUUGAAGCUCUAAUCCUUAGUGUGCUUAUAUUUGGAUACAGGGCCUUUAAGGAAGUAAUUAAAGAUAAAUGAGGUCAAAAGGGUGGGACCCUGAUCCAGUAGGACUGGUGUCUUUAUUAGAAGAGAUACCAAAGGGCUCUCUUUCUACCCCACCCCCUGCCCCCACCAAUAGAAAAGGCCAUGUAAGGACACAGUGAGAAAGUGGCCCUCUACAAGCCACGAAGAGAGCUCUCACCAGGCGCUGAAUUAGCCAGCACCUUGAUCCAGGACUCCUAGCCUCCAGAACUGUGAGAAAAUACAUUUUGGUUGUUUAAAGCAAUCCAGUCUGUGAUAUUGUGUUAUGGCAUUAUGGGCAGACUCAUACAGGGGCCAAAAACUCUCAGCUUUUUGUCAUGAAAAGACAGAGAAAAGAAUGUAGAUAAUUAGAAGAAAAGAUGGGGUCAUUCGGGAAAAACAGCUCAAAGAAUGCUGUAAUUAAUGAGGGUCUUCUGCCUACCUGUACAUUUGCAGCCUUCGGCUAGAAAAGAGUGAACCUCCAGUUACAUUUGUAAAUACGCAGAACAGCCUUCUCCACAACACACCUCAGGGAAGAGGUCUUACCCAGGGAACUUAUUAAAGCCCAAUGUUCAGGAAAUCUAGUGUAGGCAAAUGAAUAAAUAAAAUCCUGCAAACCUUGGGAUUUCUCAGAAGGAGAUUAUUUCCAUUCUCUAGGAAGCAUAUAAAAGCAUUCCCCCCCCCCCCCCAAUACCAGGUCUCCAAGAUACGGCGGGGAAAAAAACCCAAACCUUAAAUGGAGUUGACAACCUCAGGGCAUUUGUUUUGGGGUACAAAGAGAAAUGUGUUCUUUAAAGAGCAUUUUAUAAAAUGGAAACUGCUUUGUUCUUCAGUUUGGAUAUGGUUGAGGCCAUCACUAACACUAAUUCAUUAUAAUUGAAAAUGUUUAGAGCUUCUGUCUGAAACCCUUACUACAUUAAUUUAGAAGGUAGGAAUUCAUACGCUCUUAAAUUCACCCUGGCUCCCCAUCUUCUAGGGAUGGACUAACUUUCCUGGACAGUUGUUGGCACCUAGUCAGUGGACGUGUGCCAGUCUUGUGUCUGUGUGGCGUGGAGUUGUAAGAUCCAGCCUUCAGUCAAAGGAGACACACAAAGGAGAUGAUUUAAUUAACAGAGCAAAGGCAAAAAAAUUGCAUUUUGGUUGGUCACAGAGGUAACCUGAAAAGAAGCCUGAACUGGACUGUUCCACCCACAUGUUACACUUGUUUAUACACCAGGGUCUUUUUCUUUUAUUAUGUUCAGCAUCUGAGUUCAGCUAUUGAUUCUACAGAGCCUUUUGGAAACAUACAACUAUGCCACCAACACAAAAAAUCUUGAUAUAUUUCUAACAAGUUGUUUAUCAAUAGCUGCAGGUCUCUCCUAGUUUUCCAAAAUGCCAGUCAUCACGCCUUUUUCACAGAGAAGCUGGGCUGGUCUGGGCUAUGAAACACAUUGCUGAAGAGUUUACAGAUGCCAGUUAAGAAAUUGAGUACUUCUUGGGAAUGCAAACUGGUGCAGCUACUCUGGAAAACUGUAUGGAGAUUCCUCAAAAAACUAAACAUAGAACUACCCUAUGGUCCAGCAAUUGAACUACUAGGCAUUUAUCCACGGGAUACA
Long non-coding RNA from Felis catus (domestic cat), 3058 nucleotides. RefSeq lists it as uncharacterized. The transcript is spliced from 4 exons. Lineage: Eukaryota; Metazoa; Chordata; Mammalia; Carnivora; Felidae. The record is from RefSeq and is a predicted model, not a curated record.